RNAcentral lists this ribosomal RNA (467 nucleotides) under uncultured bacterium. RNAcentral describes it as "partial 16S ribosomal RNA". It matches the Rfam family "Bacterial small subunit ribosomal RNA", at positions 28 to 507 of the family's 1533-position model. The record is from RNAcentral.
GAUGAACGCUGGCGGCGUGCUUAACACAUGCAAGUCGAACGGAAAGGCCCAAGCUUGCUUGGGUACUCGAGUGGCGAACGGGUGAGUAACACGUGGGUGAUCUGCCCUGCACUUCGGGAUAAGCCUGGGAAACUGGGUCUAAUACCGGAUAGGACCACUUCUUGGAUGUUGUGGUGGAAAGUUUUUUCGGUGUGGGAUGAGCUCGCGGCCUAUCAGCUUGUUGGUGGGGUAAUGGCCUACCAAGGCGUCGACGGGUAGCCGGCCUGAGAGGGUGUACGGCCACAUUGGGACUGAGAUACGACCCAGACUCCUACGGGAGGCAGCAGUGGGGAAUAUUGCACAAUGGGCGCAAGCCUGAUGCAGCGACGCCGCGUGGGGGAUGACGGCCUUCGGGUUGUAAACUCCUUUCGCUAGGGACGAAGCGUUUUGUGACGGUACCUGGAGAGGAAGCACCGGCUAACUACGUG